Molecule: ribosomal RNA, 253 nt
Filed under: uncultured bacterium
Lineage: Bacteria
Description: partial 16S ribosomal RNA
Rfam family: Bacterial small subunit ribosomal RNA
Source: RNAcentral
UACGUAGGGUGCAAGCGUUGUCCGGAAUUAUUGGGCGUAAAGAGCUCGUAGGCGGUUUGUUGCGUCGGCUGUGAAAUCCCGAGGCUCAACCUCGGGUCUGCAGUCGAUACGAGCAAACUAGAGUGUUGCAGGGGAGACUGGAAUUCCCGGUGUAGCGGUGAAAUGCGCAGAUAUCGGGAGGAACACCAGCGGCGAAGGCGGCACUCUGGGCUGGUACUGACGCUGAGGAGCGAAAGCGUGGGGAGCAAACAGG